CGUGCCGCGGCUCGGACGGCGGCGGGAGCAGCCGCCGUCACCCGGGGUGGUGCUGCUGCCCUGUCGCAGCCUGGCCCGCGUCGUUUGAAAAAGCUGUUGUUCUGGUAGAGUUUGCCACGAAGCGGGGUGAAUCGUCGUUUUCCACGCCUGGAGGACGGAGUAAUUCGCUGAGAGGUUUCCGCGAUGUGCAAUCCAAACUUUGGCAAGAGGAGAUUGGAAUGGUGGUAAUCGACUUUUGCCAAAGGAAAAAGUUUGUCAGACGAGCGAGUCUUCUUCCUCAUCAUGAAAACCUUCUGUUAUAUUAGGAAAAGCAUUUGUAAGGAAAUGCAAGAAAUAGACGCGUCAUUACUGAGGGAAAAUCACUGAGGGAUGGUACCGCCGUGGAAAUGAUCAGUCAGGCUUCGGCUUGUGGUAGCAUUGCUUCACAGUGGAGAAGGGAUUCAUGGCUUCAGACGAAGCUUUAAGUCGAUCCCGCUGUCCGUGCUGUGCCUCGCUCACACUGUUCCUCAAAUCCGCCAUUGGGAGUUUUUGCCAUCUCCAGCCACCAUGUAUAAGCAAUGCAGUCUUUUUAUUAAACGUGGGUAUCUAUUUCAACGGUAACUCAUCUGUUUCUGAAGCACCAGGAGGCAAAAUUCAAACCCUGUGAAGUCCGUUUGGGCUUUGAUUAAUGAACUUGAGGCACCCUACGUUUCGGAGAACAGUUUGAGCAGUCUCGUGUCAGGUAGCAUCCCAGCAGACAGCAGCUGAAACCUUCACGCUAGUCAUUCCAAGAUGGUCUUGGUGUAUAUCCAGAAGUGCUCUUAUCUUGAUGAGCUUAGCUACAUCCUGAGCUCUGCUGCUUUUUCACGCAGACAGGAAAAAGGUUGAACUCCACCCAGCCACGUCGCUGUGUUCAGCCCACGCACAACGCACUUGGGUAGAACUGCACAGCUCACGGGUAACAAAGUGCCAAGAACACAGCCCUCAGCUCCUUUCUGCACAACUGCCUGCUGACAGCAGCACUUGCCCAAGAAGGAACGAACUUCAUGAAUUAACAUCCCACACCUCCUAGGAGAGGUGGACCUCUGGUUCAAAAUAAGAGCAUCUUCUAUUCUUGUAGUGCCACUGGUUACAAGUGUCGAAACAGGAGGAACGUUUUGUCCUAAAUGCAGGUUAAUGAUUUUGUAUCCUAAUCUUAAGAUCAGGAAAAAAAAAAAAAAAACAGUGUUGCACGCUGGUAUGAAUGUGUAUCUUCUUGUUUGAAGCUGUCAUACUUACAACUUGUUCCUAGCUGGAAGAUGCUCAUUUGUACAUUGUUACUUUUAACUUACUAUACAGUUCAUAAAAUAACCAAGUAGAAUUGUCAAGCAAAUACACCCAAGCUUUGAUCAGUCUGAUAGCCAGUCUUGUCUGAAACGUCUGUUACAGGUAAGUUCCCAGCACAGAGCAGGUACCUACACGUUACCCUGCAGAAGAUGCCUCCAGGAGGAUACCUGCAGAGGAGCCCUUUCAGCCAGUGACUGGCCAUUAUGCAUGAGAAUUGCUGAUCAAGGUUGAGAGCUUAACAACAGACUGCUGCAGUUGUCAAUGGAACAGGGGAAAUGGGAACUCACAUUCGAGUUUCAUUGUUUAAAUCCUAGAAUCAUAGCAUUGCUCAGUUUGGAAAAGACCUUCAAGAUCAUCGAGUCCAACUGCAAAUGAAGCAUUCACAUUAAAAAAAUGGAGAUUUUUAAGCAGUGAGUACUUUUCACACAAUCCAUAACUGGCUUGUGGAAUUGGCUACCAGAAGAAAUCACCAUGACAAGAAUUAAGUAAGCUUCAAAACUUAGAUUCCUGGUUGCACAGUGAUCCAACUUCGCAUGGAGUCAUGAAAGAAUUCCAGAAUUAUUUAGCUUGUGAUUACAGUGUAUUCCUGGAAAGCAUGCGCACGUGGUUCAGAUUCAAGCAGGGAUGCAUGAUGAUUGGAAUCCAGGUUUCCCAUUUCAGUGCUGCACCUUCUUAUGACAAUACUUUCUGGCAGAAGAGUUCAGUGGUAUACAAAGUAAACACUCUUUGGAAGAAAAAAAAUAUAUGUAGCGGGAAACAACUGAGCAGAAAAGCUUCAGUAUACUGCAGGGGACAAGAAGCAGACAUUGAAGACAUUCUGAAUAUCCAGAUCAUUGUGGUCAGUAAUCCUCUUUCACACAAGAAAUAAGGAAAAAAAGCAUAACUGCGUUGAAGACAAAGCUUGGAUAGUUUCUGAGUAGGACUUGGGCAUGUGUCCUGUUGGGAACCUACCUCCAUUCUCCACGAAGUUCCACUGUUUUUACUUCCUCCUCGUGAAUUUCUAGUAGGUACAGCAUGAUUUUCAACUUAAAAAUGAUCUGUUUUACAUAGACUUCUUCAUAAAAGACAUAAUUCUGUAUAAAUAGUCUUCCCUUUUUACUUUUUGUUCCCUUUUUACUUACUGUUACCUAUCUAGCUUGGAAAGAAAAAAAGCAUUCUUCUCACAGUACUUACCAAACAUCACAAAAAGAAAUUAACCUUCUCAAACACAUUAGGAAGCAUGAAAGACUUGCUUACACUAUUAUAAACUGAAUUUGCAUCUUCUUACCACAUUCAGUUUUCAUCCAGUCCAGUGAUUUUUUCCCUGCACAGUCUUCCUACAGAAGGAACAUAAAGUUAAUUUAAGUCAUGUUCUCAUCCUUGAUUAACCUGAUUAAUAGAAAACACAUAUAUGCAAUGCAGUGAGAUGCAUACUUCCAUAAAUAAUUUAGUUGAGAUAUAUAUUUUAAGAGUUAAGAGGGUGAAGAGGAAGGCUACAAAAAUGAUCAGAGGGUUGGAGCACCUCUCCUGUGAAGGCUGGCUGAAGGAGCUGGGCUUGUUCAAUCUGAAGAAGAGAAGGCUGCAGGGAGACCUCAUUGUGGCCUUCCAGUAUUUAAAUUGAGAUUAUAAACAGGAGGGAAAUAAACUUCUUACACUGGUAGAUAGUGAUAUGACAAAGGGGAGUUAUUUUAAACUAACGGAGGGAAGAUUUAGAUUAGAUGUCGGGGAAUUUUUUCACUGAGAGAGUGGUGAAGUGCUGGAACAGGUUGCCCAGAGAGGGCCCGAGAAGGAUGCCCCAUCCCUGGAAAUGUUUGAGGCCAGGUUGGAUGGGCCCCUGGGCAACCUGAUAUAGUACUUGAUCUAGCAGCUGGCAACACUGCCUGAGGCAGUGUUGAGGGAGGUUGAAACCUGAUGAUCCUUGAGGUCCCUUCCAACCCAAGCCGGUCUAUGAUUCUAUGAUUUAUAGUGUAGACUAAGAAAUGGAGGAAAAUACAUCUGAGUAAGUAAUAUGAAGCAGAAUGUAGACCUAGUCCAGCUUGUUGAACCACAAGGUGGUUAUGUCCUGUACCAUGUAGUGUAUGUAAAAACUAUCAUACACAAGAAUAUAAUGAGGUUUGCAAUCAGUAUAAAGCAUUAACAUCUGUCUCUUUCUUCUGUGGCUGAUAGCAAAAGAUACAGACAAGAGAAGAGAGAGGAGAGUAAAAAUAAUUAUUCUGAACUGUUUCAAUGAAAAAAAUAUAUUCCUAAUCUUAUCCCUAAACAUGACUGUGAGAGAAAGGUAGCAGAGAAAAUCAGAUAUGGAAAAAAAAAUGUUUUUCUUUGUGUGCAUAGAUAUUAUGUGUGUGUACAUGCACAUGCAAUCCUAUGGAUAUAGAAUCAUAGAACGGUUUGGGUUGGAAGGGACCUUUAAGAUCAUCUAGUUCCAACUCCCCUGCUUUAGGCAGGGGACACUUUCCUCUAGAUCAGGUGUAUAUAUCAGAUAUAGUGUGGGAAGACUGUGGGAAGCAGGCAAAGUAGCUUGGAGAAAUAUGAAAUUGAGAGAAACGUAGUUGGAAGGUAUUUUGAGGAAGGAAAAUGUAAAUGAGAGAGAUUUAUGAGAGAAAAAAUUUGGAAAAGAGAUAUUUGAAUACAGUAGCUUAAAAUUGAUGCAAGAAAGACAGACAGCAAGAAGCAUAACAGAAAAGGGUAGGAAGAGGUAGAAGUCAAGGAACGGUGAACAAGCAGUAGAAUGUAUGAAGCCAAGUUUCCUGUGGUUUUAUGACUUGGAAUAAGACUAUGUUGUGUGCUUAAUAUUUUCUCUGGAUUUGCAGUAAAAGGAAAUAUAUAGUAUAAACAUAAGCAUACAGGCCCUUGGUCUAAUCAGGGCAAAUCCAUAAAUAAUAAGAUUAUUUCUACUGAACAGGAAAAUACAGCUUUCAUGAGCUUAUUCAUGAAGUGUAUGCAUCCUUAAGUACAUCAAGUUGUAUAUUGCAGGAUAAUAGCAAACUUCUAAAUUUUGUUAGGGAAAUUCUGAUUUCAUUAGCAAAUUUGCAAGAUGUUACUCAACAUCAAGCAACAAAUAGAAGCACUUCAAGAUGCCAAGGGAAAAACCAUGAAAACAAAACAACAACAACAACAACCAAAUUCCAGAAACAAUGCUUUCAAAAAUCAAAAGGACAAGAAUUUGUAGAAAUCCAGUAUAUGAACUAGCUAAAUACAAUUAUCCCAAUCAGCAUAAAAAUGCUGUUUCAUAUAAAGAAGGACUACAAAUGAUACAAAUGACUACGUGAUGACAUGAAAGAAAAAUGAGAGUGCAUUGCCUAAUUAAUACCAGUAACGGGUAACGGAUAAGCUAGUCUACAUGUGGCUAAGAGAGAACAAGCGUUAACAGAAUUUUCUCUUUUGGAAGGAAUUUUAGCAGUAUCCUUUAUGUAUCCAGUACAUGUCCAAAUAAAUGCGCUGAAAUGCAUCUCUGCCCUCAGUGGGAGACUGCUUGGCUCCAUUCAGCUUGUUGUAACACUGAGACCUUGAGCACUCUCAAAAUUGGCUGAAAUUUUCAAGAAGGUUCCAAAGAAAUUGCAAGGCUCAGAAUGACAGAAAGUACAACUGAGUAAAUCUUGCUUCCUGAAGAAACGAGGCUAGAACAAUAAAAAAGGAAAAAGAGAUGAAAUUAAUUCAAGUAGACAGUUGAUUGCCACUACAUUAAAGCUAAACACAGUUUGCAUUUGCACUGCAAUUUAGAUUGGCUUCUCGGAUAGUAGUACAUGGCAUGUCUAAUUUGGACUAGGAGGCCAAAAUAAAGGACACUUCUGUUAAAAUAAAGACAAUGUCAGUGAACAAAAGGUACAAAUUGGGAGGUACAAAGCAAAACACAAACCUGGACAAAAGAGAUUGUGAAACAAAUGUGACAGGAAGGAUUGUCACAAGGCUGUUUCUAGUUCAGUGUUCAAAAUCUAUUAAUGCAUAAGAAAGAUAUACACUAAAAAAUCAGGCAGCAGAAGAUUUAGAAGUGAUGACAGAAGUAUUAUUCAGCAAUAAGAGAAGCAGGCAGUUACGUCAAGCAACAUAAUUUCAGCAGUCUCUGCUCAUGUUGGAAACAGACAGCAAUGACAAAUAGUCUCAAGGAAUCAAACCUCAAACACAAAGUGAAUCCUUAUAAUGAGCAGGGCUCACCUGCUCUGAUGCCAACAUACUGUGUCUCUCUCUCUAGCUUUUUGUCAGUAUCUGUGUAGCUUCCAGGCUAAUGAAAUUUAACUGAAAUGAGACUGGCAGGGAAUAUUUUGGCAGAGGAUAUUUUAUAAGAGGAUAUUUUGGCCAGGAAGGAGGACAUAAUGACUGGUGCUCAAAGUCUUCUUAUCUCACAGCUUUUCCAAUUUUUUAAAAAAUGUGUUAAAGAAAAGGUUUUGUAUUUUAUUCACUCAGAACACUUUUCUAAUACUUCCUCACCAAUAAAUUAGGAUGUGAUGUUUAACUGGCCACUCAAAAUAAAUUGUCCACCAGCAUACCAGCUGCCUCCCAGAUAAAUUAACUCUGUCAUUCGCUUCACUUUUAAUACAUCUUCUUGAACUCAUUGCAUGGUUAAUAUAUCAUACUGAACUAAGCAAUGUAGAUAUUGGAGAAUAGUUCUCCAAACUGAAUGUAUUUGAUCUUAUCACUAGUCAGGUAAGUAUGUUGUAUCUCUCCAUUUUUGUGGUAAAGAAUAUAUAGCAGAGAUGAGGUCUCGGGCAGCUUGUGUUAUCAGUUAGCUAUGAGCGAAGAAACAAGCAAAAGUCCAUAGAGGGCUAUAGUAGCUCUGAGCCAUUACACAGCAAAAGAGUAGUUAGAUUCCAUUCAUUUAACACUGAUGUUAACUCAUCCUGUAUAUAAGACACAAAUGUUGCAAUAAAGUAAACACACUAUUUAUAUUUAAAGAAGGCGGCAAAAGAGAAGCUCAAGAUUUAAAAAAACCUGUCUGUUUACCCCCAGUUAUUCCAAAUACUGAAGCAAGUAAUGGAAGACAGUAUUAUUAAGCAUUUAGAAGAUAGGAGGAAUAUGUGAAAGACAACAUGUACCUGCCAAGUACAAGUUGUGACAAGUUAUCUAAUUUCCUUCUUAAUGAUUAAUAGGACUUGAGAAAAGAGAAGCAGAAUCUAACAAGAUUUCAGGAAGGCUUUUCAUGUUUUCUUAUGUGGUAUCCUCAUUUAUAUGCAAACUACAGUGACUGGAAAAGAAGUAUAUCAAUGAUUUACUGUCAAAGUAGAGAACUAUUUUAAGAUUCUAUCCUGGUCCAAUGCCAUUAAAUAUUUUAACUCAAAA
Numida meleagris (helmeted guineafowl) is the source of this 6558-nucleotide long non-coding RNA. RefSeq lists it as uncharacterized. Lineage: Eukaryota; Metazoa; Chordata; Aves; Galliformes; Numididae. The record is from RefSeq and is a predicted model, not a curated record. The transcript is spliced from 2 exons.